AUAUCACAUUGAAACACUGGUUCCUGUAUGAUCACUGAAGAUAAGCAAUGUUGAGCCUGGCCAGUACCUAGAUGGGUGACUACUUGGGAACACCAAGUGCUGUAAG
Non-coding RNA from Acanthosepion pharaonis, 106 nucleotides. NCBI's taxonomy places the organism in Eukaryota, Metazoa, Mollusca, Cephalopoda, Sepiida, Sepiidae. The record is from the annotation of a GenBank genome assembly.